RNAcentral lists this ribosomal RNA (313 nucleotides) under uncultured bacterium. RNAcentral's name for it is "bacterial SSU rRNA". It matches the Rfam family "Bacterial small subunit ribosomal RNA", at positions 83 to 410 of the family's 1533-position model. The record is from RNAcentral.
UCCAUGAGUACAGUGGCGUACGGGUGAGUAGCACGUGGAUCAUCUACCUCUUGAUGGGGAAUAACCCUGGGAAACCGGGGCUAAUACCGCAUAAGCCUGUAAAGGGAAAGCAGCAAUGCGUCGAGAGAGGAGUCCGCGGCCGAUUAGCUAGUUGGUAGGGUAAAGGCCUACCAAGGCAAUGAUCGGUAGCCGGCCUGAGAGGGCACACGGCCACACUGGCACUGAAACACGGGCCAGACUCCUACGGGAGGCAGCAGUGGGGAAUCUUGCACAAUGGAGGAAACUCUGAUGCAGCGACGCCGCGUGAGCGAUG